This 378-nucleotide ribosomal RNA is filed under the name uncultured Anaerolineaceae bacterium. Its description in RNAcentral is "bacterial SSU rRNA". It matches the Rfam family "Bacterial small subunit ribosomal RNA", at positions 992 to 1382 of the family's 1533-position model. Lineage: Bacteria; Bacillati; Chloroflexota; Anaerolineae; Anaerolineales; Anaerolineaceae. The record is from RNAcentral.
GGUAGAGAAGCGAAAGCGGAUCGACCUUCCGGGGAGCGUUGUACAGGUGCUGCAUGGCUGUCGUCAGCUCGUGUCGUGAGAUGUUCGGUUAAGUCCGCUAACGAGCGCAACCCUCGCUGUGUGUUACAAGUGUCACACGGAACUGCCGGUCAUAAACCGGAGGAAGGUGGGGAUGACGUCAAGUCAGCAUGGCCUUUAUAUCCUGGGCUACACACACGCUACAAUGGGAAGGGACAAUAGGUUGCGAAGCCGCGAGGCGGAGCCAAUCCAGCAAAACUUCCCUCAGUUCAGAUUGCAGGCUGCAACUCGCCUGCAUGAAGUUGGAGUUGCUAGUAAACGCAGGUCAGCCAUACUGCGUUGAAUACGUUCCCGGGGCUU